RNAcentral lists this non-coding RNA (24 nucleotides) under Arabidopsis thaliana (thale cress). Lineage: Eukaryota; Viridiplantae; Streptophyta; Magnoliopsida; Brassicales; Brassicaceae. The record is from RNAcentral.
UAAGGUCUUGAAGGUGGAGGUCUC